This 433-nucleotide ribosomal RNA is filed under the name uncultured bacterium. Its description in RNAcentral is "partial 16S ribosomal RNA". It matches the Rfam family "Bacterial small subunit ribosomal RNA", at positions 29 to 507 of the family's 1533-position model. The record is from RNAcentral.
AACGAACGCUGGCGGCAUGCCUAACACAUGCAAGUCGAACGAAACGUUCGGGCUUAGUUGCGCUCGGCGGCGUAACGCGUGGUAACUUGCCCUUAAGUUCGGUAUACUUGCCCGAAGGGGAUCUUCAUACCGGUGAAUGUCAUCCGGCCUAAGAUUUAUCGCUAUUGGAUGGGCGCUCGUUGGAUUAGGCGGUUGGUAGGGUACAAGCCGAUCAAGGCCAUGAUGCAUAGCUGGUCUGAGAGGAUGACCAGCCACACUGGGACUGAGACACGGCCCAGAAUCCUACGGGAGGCAGCAGUAGGGAAUAUUGGACGAUGGGCGAAAGCCUGAUCCAGCAAUGCCGCGUGAGUGAUGAAGGCCUUAGGGUUGUAAAGCUGUUUUACCCGGGAUGAGAAUGACAGUACCGGGAGAAGAAGCACCGGCUAACUCCGUG